Non-coding RNA from Heterocephalus glaber (naked mole-rat), 1962 nucleotides. The record is from RefSeq and is a predicted model, not a curated record. NCBI's taxonomy places the organism in Eukaryota, Metazoa, Chordata, Mammalia, Rodentia, Bathyergidae.
GCUGUAGACUGGAUUUCAUGGAAACAAAGAAUGCUGGUUUGAUUCUUACAAUAUUGUUGUCCAACCUCUCAUUUUACAGCUGAGAAAAUAGAGGAUCAUGAGUGUCAAAUGACUUGUCUAAAUUUGUACAGCUUACUGGUGGCUUGAGUCCAGACUUAAAUGUAUGUUUCUGAUUACAAAUUCAUUACUUGGUUCUGACUAAAGGAUAUUCUUAGCUUCUCUCUUCUAUCUCUGUUCCUUCAACGACACCCAUCACUUUCCUCCUUCCAAACAUAUCAGAGGUCCUCUGAGAUCUUACAUUCUUUUUUUUUUUAACCUCUGGUGGUUGUUAUUAUUUUUCUAUCUGUGCAAGUAUGGAGAUAAAGAGAAUGAAACUUUAAGAAGCUAAAUGAAGAGUAUUGAAGUAUCAAUCAAAUGAAACAGUCAAAACUUUGCAAUUUCCCAACUUUCAUGAUCAGUGUUUAAAAAUGCAUAUGCAGAGUCCUGUGGAUAAUUAUGUGAUGUCUGCGAGGUUAACUAAGUGUUAGAUGUCCAAAGUCACCAAAAAAUAAAACAGCUUUCAAGGGCUGCCAACACCAGCAGAGCCCCAGUGGGCAUGUGUGGUUCUCUGCUUUGGAAAAUGUGUCUCAGCCAGUGAUGAAAAUCUAAACCACACAAACCACUUGGUUUCUAAGAGAACAAGUUUUGAGAAACCAUGUUUUGGAAUAAAGCCUCAAAUUUUCCAUUUCACAACAAAGUUCCCCAAAGAAGUUUUAUUUUAACAUUAUAAAGAAUACUGAGGAUAGCAGGAGUAAAGAAGGCUUAAAAUAAAGGAAAAGAAAAACCUAUUUUAAUGGUGAUGGACUUACAGAACUGGUGUGUAAAGAUGUCGUCUUGCCUAUUUAUUUCCUGUCUUACAACUCCUUUCCACAAAACCCCAACACUCCAUCUGGGUUUUCCAGUUCAAAGUUCUCCAAAAAGUUUACUUCUACAGUUUAAGUGUUGGUGCUUUAUGAAAAGUGUGGAAAACACUAGACUACAUGCUAAUGUUAAUUGAUUUUAAGCUCUCCCUGAACAUGAAUUGUGCUGCAAAAUUAGCCCGAGAGCCUUUAGACAUUCACAAGGGCCAAAGAGGGGAAAGUUAUAGAACAAAGAGUUUGGAGACAUGGAACCAUGUCACCCAUCUUACUCCAUCUAGCAGAUCUUGUGCGGCUAGCAGACCGAAGUCCUUUCCCUGUGUGAAUGAGGAUGGAACCAGGCCAGGAUUGGAGCUCUUAGCACUGCAUCUGAUCACCCUGGGCAAGUGGCUUAGCUUCCUUCUCUCAGUAUCUGUUUUGUUUUACAUCAAAUAAGUUAAUGCUUGUCUUCUACCUAAGGAGCCAUGCAAGGGAUAACAAAGAAAAGCAUGCUUAAUGAAUUACCAAGUGCUAUUCAUUCAUGAAGGGACUCUGUGACUUCCACGUGACGUUGUUUCUGUGUAUAGCAGGUGCUGUUGACACAUCACCCACAUUUCUUCAACACCAACAGUUCCCAGGGGCUCUAUUACCAGCUUCUACCUAGAAAAUGACUCUUAGCUUAAUGGCUUUUGGAAGAAACAUUAAGAGCAACCCUCAGCCAGUGAUGGACUGAUACAUUGCCCAGUAGGGUGGGACAACUUUCUGUUGGGAAUGAAUGAUUGCCUAGGCAUGAGGAUCUUGGAUAAUUUUCUACAUCAUCAACAACAGUUCAUGGGUUUCUCCAUUGCUUAAAGAAUGCCCCUUGACUGCUACAAUUAUUGUGUGAGCCUAAACUUCAAUUUUUGAUAAAGAGGAGAAACAUUUCUGGUUCUAACAAUGAAAGAGGUAGCUUCUAUUUAAAAAUAAUGUCUGAUUAUUUGUAAUAUGUUAAAACCAUCUACAUGUUUUAUUGAGUAUUUGAAAAAGAACGCAUGUCAUUGAAAAUUUUUAUUAGCAUAUUUCUUUUCUUUUUUUUUUACUAGCUAUU